GAUGAACGCUGGCGGCGUGCCUAAUACAUGCAAGUCGAACGCGCAGCGAGAAGUGCUUGCACCUUUCAAGCGAGUGGCGAACGGGUGAGUAACACGUGGAUAACCUGCCUCAAGGCUGGGGAUAACAUUUGGAAACAGAUGCUAAUACCGAAUAAAACUUAGUAUCGCGUGAUAUCAAGUUAAAAGGCGCUACGGCGUCACCUAGAGAUGGAUCCGCGGUGCAUUAGUUAGUUGGUGGGGUAAAGGCUUACCAAGACGAUGAUGCAUAGCCGAGUUGAGAGACUGAUCGGCCACAUUGGGACUGAGACACGGCCCAAACUCCUACGGGAGGCUGCAGUAGGGAAUCUUCCACAAUGGGCGCAAGCCUGGUGGAGCAACGCCGCGUGUGUGAUGAAGGCUUUCGGGUCGUAAAGCACUGUUGUAUGGGAAGAAAUGCUAAAAUAGGGAAUGAUUUUAGUUUGACGGUACCAUACCAGAAAGGGACGGCUAAAUACGUGCCAGCAGCCGCAGUAA
This 513-nucleotide ribosomal RNA is filed under the name uncultured bacterium. Its description in RNAcentral is "partial 16S ribosomal RNA". It matches the Rfam family "Bacterial small subunit ribosomal RNA", at positions 28 to 523 of the family's 1533-position model. The record is from RNAcentral.